GGGGUUGUGGCUCAGUGGUAGAGCACUCACCUAGCAUGUGUGAGGCCCUGGGUUCGAUUCUCAGCACCACA
This 71-nucleotide transfer RNA is filed under the name Marmota monax (woodchuck). RNAcentral describes it as "tRNA.Ala". It matches the Rfam family "tRNA". From Rfam's summary of the family: Transfer RNA (tRNA) molecules are approximately 80 nucleotides in length. Their secondary structure includes four short double-helical elements and three loops (D, anti-codon, and T loops). Further hydrogen bonds mediate the characteristic L-shaped molecular structure. tRNAs have two regions of fundamental functional importance: the anti-codon, which is responsible for specific mRNA codon recognition, and the 3' end, to which the tRNAs corresponding amino acid is attached (by aminoacyl-tRNA synthetases). tRNAs cope with the degeneracy of the genetic code in two manners: having more than one tRNA (with a specific anti-codon) for a particular amino acid; and 'wobble' base-pairing, i.e. permitting non-standard base-pairing at the 3rd anti-codon position. Lineage: Eukaryota; Metazoa; Chordata; Mammalia; Rodentia; Sciuridae. The record is from RNAcentral.